This 743-nucleotide non-coding RNA is filed under the name Diabrotica barberi (northern corn rootworm). Lineage: Eukaryota; Metazoa; Arthropoda; Insecta; Coleoptera; Chrysomelidae. The record is from RNAcentral.
UAAAAGUUUUAUUUUAGCUUAAAAAUUAAAUUUUAUUAUUUAUUAUAUGUAAAUUUUAUUUAAGAAUAGUUAGCAGUAAUUGAAUUUAAUUAUUAAAGAAAUUUAGAAUUAGAAAUUUUAAAUAAUAUUAACUUAAUUUGUGCCAGCAGUUGCGGUUAUACAAAUAAUAUGAUUUAAUUUUAUUAAUAUUAAUUAAAUAUUUAUUUAUAAUUAUAUAAUAAAAUUUAUUAGGUGAAAUUUUAAAUUUUUAUAGAAUUAUAUUUUUAAAUUGAAGUUAAAAAAUUUAAAUUUUAAACUAGGAUUAGAUACCCUAUUAUUUUAAAUGUAAAAUUUUUAUUUAAUUAUUAUUAGUUAUGGUCUUUAAAAUUAAAAAUUUUGGCGGUAUUUUAGUCUUUUUAGAGGAACCUGUUCUUUUAAUGAUAAUCCACGAUUUUAUUGACUUUUAUUAUUAGUUUGUAUAUCGUCGUAAUUAAAUAUUUUUUUAGAAUUAAAAUAUUUAAAAUUUUUAUAAAAAAAUUAAUCAGAUCAAGGUGCAGUUUAUAUAAAAGUAGAAAUGGGUUACAAUAAAAUUAUUUUUGGAUUUUAAAUAUUAAUAUUUAAAUGAAAUUGGAUUUAAAUGUAAUAUUAAUUAAUUAAUUAAUAUGAUUUUGGCUCUAAGAUAUGUACAUAUUGCCCGUCGCUUUCAUUUAAUAUGAAAUAAGUCGUAACAAAGUAGAUUUACUGGAAAGUGAAUCUAGAUUAUC